GUGCCAGCAGCCGCGGUAAUACCAGCUCCGCGAGUGGUCGGGGUGCUUACUGGGCCUAAAGCGCCCGUAGCCGGCCCGGUAAGUCGUCCCUGAAAUCCACGGGCUCAACCCGUGGGCUGGGGACGAUACUGCCGGGCUUGGGGGCGGGAGAGGCCGAGGGUACUCCCGGGGUAGGGGCGAAAUCCGAUAAUCCCGGGAGGACCACCAGUGGCGAAGGCGCUCGGCUGGAACGCGCCCGACGGUGAGGGGCGAAAGCUGGGGGAGCAAAGGGGAUUAGAUACCCGGGUAGUCCCGGCUGUAAACUAUGCGGGCCAGGUGUCGGGCGGGCGUUAGAGCCCGCCCGGUGCCGCAGGGAAGCCGUUAAGCCCGCCGCCUGGGGAGUACGGCCGCAAGGCUGAAACUUAAAGGAAUUGGCGGGGGGGCACACAAGGGGUGAAGCUUGCGGCUUAAUUGGAGUCAACGCCGGAAACCUUACCCGGGGCGACAGCAGGAUGAUGGCCAGGCUAACGACCUUGCCGGACGAGCUGAGAGGAGGUGCAUGGCCGUCGUCAGCUCGUGCCGUGAGGUGUCCGGUUAAGUCCGGCAACGAGCGAGACCCCCACCCCUAGUUGCUACCCGAUCCUUCGGGAUCGGGGGCACACUAGGGGGACUGCCGGCGUAAGCCGGAGGAAGGAGGGGGCCACGGCAGGUCAGUAUGCCCCGAAACCCCGGGGCUGCACGCGAGCUGCAAUGGCGGGGACAGCGGGAUCCGACCCCGAAAGGGGGAGGUAAUCCCGUAAACCCCGCCCCAGUAGGGAUCGAGGGCUGUAACUCGCCCUCGUGAACGUGGAAUCCCUAGUAACCGCGUGUCACCAACGCGCGGUGAAUACGUCCCUGCCCCUUGCACACACCGCCCGUC
Molecule: ribosomal RNA, 898 nt
Filed under: uncultured archaeon
Lineage: Archaea
Description: SSU rRNA
Rfam family: Archaeal small subunit ribosomal RNA
Source: RNAcentral